GACGAACGCUGGCGGCGUGCUUAACACAUGCAAGUCGAACGGUCCUGUUUUUGAAGCGCUUCGGCGUGGAGGGAGCGGGUUAGUGGCGCACGGGUGAGUAAUGCGCGAGGACCUGCCCGCGGGAGGGGGACAGCAGUUGGAAACGGCUGGUGAUACCCCGUAAGCCGGGAGGUAAAAGGGCGGAGACGCCCGCCUGCGGAUGGACUCGCGUCCUAUCAGCUAGUUGGUGAGGCAACGGCUCACCAAGGCGACGACGGGUAGCCGGCCUGAGAGGGUGUCCGGCCACACUGGAACUGAGACACGGUCCAGACUCCUACGGGAGGCAGCAGUGGGGAAUAUUGGGCAAUGGUCGAAAGACUGACCCAGCCAUGCCGCGUGCAGGAUGAAGGCCCUAUGGGUUGUAAACUGCUUUUAGCCGGGAAUAAACACCCGUUUUAUAACGGGCCCGAAGGUACCGGCUGAAUAAGCAUCGGCUAACUCCGUG
Molecule: ribosomal RNA, 484 nt
Filed under: uncultured bacterium
Lineage: Bacteria
Description: bacterial SSU rRNA
Rfam family: Bacterial small subunit ribosomal RNA
Source: RNAcentral